UCCCUGGUGGCUCAGACGGUAAAGUGUCUGCCUACAAUGCAGGAGACCCAGGUUCGAUACCUGGGUUGGGAA
This 72-nucleotide transfer RNA is filed under the name Bos taurus (domestic cattle). It matches the Rfam family "tRNA". Rfam says of the family: Transfer RNA (tRNA) molecules are approximately 80 nucleotides in length. Their secondary structure includes four short double-helical elements and three loops (D, anti-codon, and T loops). Further hydrogen bonds mediate the characteristic L-shaped molecular structure. tRNAs have two regions of fundamental functional importance: the anti-codon, which is responsible for specific mRNA codon recognition, and the 3' end, to which the tRNAs corresponding amino acid is attached (by aminoacyl-tRNA synthetases). tRNAs cope with the degeneracy of the genetic code in two manners: having more than one tRNA (with a specific anti-codon) for a particular amino acid; and 'wobble' base-pairing, i.e. permitting non-standard base-pairing at the 3rd anti-codon position. Lineage: Eukaryota; Metazoa; Chordata; Mammalia; Artiodactyla; Bovidae. RNAcentral also lists the same sequence under 2 other names. The record is from Rfam by way of RNAcentral.